Molecule: ribosomal RNA, 957 nt
Filed under: Fusarium falciforme
Lineage: Eukaryota; Fungi; Ascomycota; Sordariomycetes; Hypocreales; Nectriaceae
Description: eukaryotic LSU rRNA
Rfam family: Eukaryotic large subunit ribosomal RNA (bases 424-957)
Source: RNAcentral
CCGAGUUAUACAACUCAUCAACCCUGUGAACAUACCUAAAACGUUGCCUCGGCGGGAAUAGACGGCCCCGUAACACGGGCCGCCCCCGCCAGAGGACCCCCUAACUCUGUUUCUAUAAUGUUUCUUCUGAGUAAACAAGCAAAUAAAUUAAAACUUUCAACAACGGAUCUCUUGGCUCUGGCAUCGAUGAAGAACGCAGCGAAAUGCGAUAAGUAAUGUGAAUUGCAGAAUUCAGUGAAUCAUCGAAUCUUUGAACGCACAUUGCGCCCGCCAGUAUUCUGGCGGGCAUGCCUGUUCGAGCGUCAUUACAACCCUCAGGCCCCCGGGCCUGGCGUUGGGGAUCGGCGGAAGCCCCCUGCGGGCACAACGCCGUCCCCCAAAUACAGUGGCGGUCCCGCCGCAGCUUCCAUUGCGUAGUAGCUAACACCUCGCAACUGGAGAGCGGCGCGGCCACGCCGUAAAACACCCAACUUCUGAAUAGGGAUUGCCCCAGUAACGGCGAGUGAAGCGGCAACAGCUCAAAUUUGAAAUCUGGCUCUCGGGCCCGAGUUGUAAUUUGUAGAGGAUGCUUUUGGUGAGGUGCCUUCCGAGUUCCCUGGAACGGGACGCCAUAGAGGGUGAGAGCCCCGUCUGGUUGGACACCGAUCCUCUGUAAAGCUCCUUCGACGAGUCGAGUAGUUUGGGAAUGCUGCUCUAAAUGGGAGGUAUAUGUCUUCUAAAGCUAAAUACCGGCCAGAGACCGAUAGCGCACAAGUAGAGUGAUCGAAAGAUGAAAAGAACUUUGAAAAGAGAGUUAAAAAGUACGUGAAAUUGUUGAAAGGGAAGCGCUUGUGACCAGACUUGGGCUUGGUUGAUCAUCCGGGGUUCUCCCCGGUGCACUCUUCCGGCUCAGGCCAGCAUCAGUUCGCCCUGGGGGAUAAAGGCUUCGGGAAUGUGGCUCUCUCCGGGGAGUGUUAU